UUCUGCUCUCUUCCCAGGAGGCUGAUAUAUCUUUCUGGUAUCUGAGGUAGACUCCUAGGGACUAAUCCCCAUCUUCAUAUCCAUCUUAUCCUUCAGACGCCAUGGCUGUCUUCUCAGAAUCAUGUGAUGGGCUCCCUUUCAUCAGAGACCACAUGAAAGCCAAAACAAUCCCUGUCUGUCAUGCUUAGAAAACUUGGCGAUGUACAUUCCACUGACUCUCUUGAAUGCCCUGCGUGCUCAAGCCUUGCACGGGAAUGAGGAACCACCCCACCCUUCGCCCUCCCUGGUGAAUCAGGUUACCAUGAACGAUAUCACUCUCUUGAGGAUAACACAGAGAG
Molecule: long non-coding RNA, 338 nt
Organism: Dermochelys coriacea (leatherback sea turtle)
Lineage: Eukaryota; Metazoa; Chordata; Testudines; Dermochelyidae
Exons: 3
Source: RefSeq, a predicted model, not a curated record